RNAcentral lists this long non-coding RNA (748 nucleotides) under Vigna radiata. Its description in RNAcentral is "long non-coding RNA (VRAD_LNC003199)". Lineage: Eukaryota; Viridiplantae; Streptophyta; Magnoliopsida; Fabales; Fabaceae. The record is from RNAcentral.
UAUUUAAUUGACCUAGAAUCAGUUAACGAGGCAACCAACUGGGACGUUCCACUGAAUGAGAAAUGCUCCUCGCUCUCCCUCCUCAAGAACGACAACCUCAUGUUGUCUGACAUCGGACGACGUUUGAGACACAAAGACUUUGUUGGAGAAGCCGUUGGAGUUGCAUUUGCACACCAAUGAAAGCUCUGUUUUGUGGAAAAGCUUUAAUUUUUCAACUGAUACACUCUUCACUUUUCAUCACCCAAGGACAUCACCCAACUUCUUCCAUGUUUUUUUGUUUGUCUUUUCCAAUUUUUUUUUAAUACAGUGAUUUCUGCGGGACUCAAAGUUCGUGCAGUGUUGGGAAUUUCGGGAAGCAAUGAGGGUUUUUUAGAUUGGUGCAAGUGGUGUGGUAAGGUUCUCUUUGUGGUGGUUCAAACGUAGGGUUUUGAUUUGUUUUGUUGAAUUGAAUUUGGUUUUGGAGUGUUUUGUCCCAGUUUGAUCUCUAGGGUUCUUGGUGAUGGGGGCAGUUGAGAUUUGAGUGUGCAUGUAUUGUGUGAAUUUUGUGGUGAGUGAAAUUUGGGCUUAAGGUAACUGUGCUUGGGUUGAAAGUUGCUUCUUUCUUUGGGGGCUUAAUGUUGUCGGGUGGUGAGUCUGGUUGAUGUGAUUGACAGAGGUUGAGAUUGUUGAUUUGGGGUUGAAUGAUAUGAGGAAGGGGAGGGGGAGCGGUAGUGCUGUGGCGAUUUCGGUUGCGAGCAGCGGCGACGAG